Molecule: long non-coding RNA, 1296 nt
Organism: Schistocerca cancellata (South American locust)
Lineage: Eukaryota; Metazoa; Arthropoda; Insecta; Orthoptera; Acrididae
Exons: 3
Source: RefSeq, a predicted model, not a curated record
UUACUUCAGGUGACACCACACUGGGCGACUGCGCGUCGGUGAUGAUGAGAUGAUGAUGAUGAUAAUGAUAAUAAUAACACAACCUGGCCGGGAAUCGAACCCGGCCCCGCUGCAUGGUAGGCAAGCCCGUUACCCCUCAGCUAAGAAUCCAGGCAACAUAGUUGAAAAUUUUAUGCGUUGGCAAUAAUUUCGCUGCAAACCACGCAUAACGGAUCACUUUUCCGAAAAUUGGCGCUUGCAACUGAUCAUGAAUCAAGAUACAGUCCAGGAAUCUCACCGAAAACAAUUUCAAAUAAUUUUUCCAUUCAUUUACUGUUUUUAAUUUUUUUAAUUCGUUCGUCAGACAUACAAUUAGCAGACAAACAAGAACAAAGUUAUUUCACUAUGUACUGGAAAACAAUGGUGUAGUUAUCAUCUACGAGCAUGGGUAGAUAAAUAAAAAGAAACUAAAACUAAAGGUAAUAAUGGGAUUUCGAAAGUGUGAAGCCACGACUAACCACUAUACCACCGCUCCGGUUGCUUUUACUUGCUCGCGGAAACGUACUUUUAAGUACCCCAGUAACUUAAACCGUAGUUUUCUCCGAAACGGUGGAGUAUCAUGGAUAAGACGAGAUACGUGUUCGCUUAUUCUGACCCCUCUUCCACUGAGCGAAGUUUCUGGGAAAUCUGAUUACGGCACUUGUGUUUUCCUGGUCAGUUGCAUGUGGACACCAGUGUCAACUUUUGCGCAUAGUAUUGCAAACACACAUCUCAGGCAUGCUGGCAUCAGAAGAUAUAUGAACACCAUGUGUACAAAAGUUGGAGCCAACCAACAGAGGGUAGUUUCGGCAGCGGACGUAGCGUUCCUGUUUCCUGGGCCCGGAGCAGAGACGCGUUUUCUUUCUGCUGCGGCGACACUUCCAUCGCCGCACGACGCCUAGGUUGGCCUGCUAUCUGCCGCCUCCACCAGCCUCAUCGUGUUGGCUCCAGAUGGCGAUGCGCGACCGCAACGAGCUACUCGGCUGGAGGAGGUCUUGAAACGAGAUGAUACUCGGCGAAGUGACUCCCCUGCCGUUCCCACAACUUACAUCCCAUCGACCACGUUUGGGAUGUGGAGCGGAGCCACGUUGCAACACGUUCACCUGCACCGACGACCAUCCAGCUGUUGUCAACCGCACUGGCGGAGGAAUGGAACGGUCACCAUAAGAACUGCUUACCAAACUUAUGGCCGGCUCGGAAGCACAGUGUAGAGGAUGCAUUGCCGUCCGUGCUGAUCACACAGCCUACUAACAACCACGCCUCACACACCAUCAUGAA